GAUGAACGCUGGCUACAGGCUUAACACAUGCAAGUCGAGGGGAAACGACGGGGAAGCUUGCUUCCCCGGGCGUCGACCGGCGCACGGGUGAGUAACGCGUAUCCAACCUGCCUCUGACUGAGGGAUAACCCGUCGAAAGUCGGCCUAAUACCUCAUGGUAUCGUCUGCGGGCAUCCAACGACGAUUAAAGAUUUCAUCGGUCAGGGAUGGGGAUGCGUCUGAUUAGCUUGUUGGCGGGGUAAUGGCCCACCAAGGCUACGAUCAGUAGGGGUUCUGAGAGGAAGGUCCCCCACAUUGGAACUGAGACACGGUCCAAACUCCUACGGGAGGCAGCAGUGAGGAAUAUUGGUCAAUGGGCGAGAGCCUGAACCAGCCAAGUAGCGUGCAGGAAGACGGCCCUAUGGGUUGUAAACUGCUUUUAUGCGGGGAUAAAGUGAGGGACGUGUCCCUCAUUGCAGGUACCGCAUGAAUAAGGACCGGCUAAUUCCGUGCCAGCAGCCGCGGUAAUACGGAAGGUCCUGGCGUUAUCCGGAUUUAUCGGGUUUAAAGGGAGCGUAGGCCGUGGAUUAAGCGUGUUGUGAAAUGCAGGUGCUCAACGUCUGCACUGCAGCGCGAACUGGUCCACUUGAGUGUGCGCAACGCAGGCGGAAUUCGUCGUGUAGCGGUGAAAUGCUUAGAUAUGACGAAGAACUCCGAUUGCGAAGGCAGCUUGCGGGAGCACAACUGACGCUGAAGCUCGAAAGUGCGGGUAUCGAACAGG
This 760-nucleotide ribosomal RNA is filed under the name uncultured Prevotella sp. RNAcentral describes it as "bacterial SSU rRNA". It matches the Rfam family "Bacterial small subunit ribosomal RNA", at positions 28 to 776 of the family's 1533-position model. Lineage: Bacteria; Pseudomonadati; Bacteroidota; Bacteroidia; Bacteroidales; Prevotellaceae. The record is from RNAcentral.